Molecule: non-coding RNA, 94 nt
Organism: Termitomyces sp. Mi166#008
Lineage: Eukaryota; Fungi; Basidiomycota; Agaricomycetes; Agaricales; Lyophyllaceae
Source: the annotation of a GenBank genome assembly
GGCGUUAUAGCCAAGUGGUUACGGCGACAGAUUAGAAUUCAUAUAACCUAUCUGUUCCUCUUUGAGGGCGCAGGUUCAAAUCCUGCUGGCGUCG